Molecule: ribosomal RNA, 495 nt
Filed under: uncultured bacterium
Lineage: Bacteria
Description: bacterial SSU rRNA
Rfam family: Bacterial small subunit ribosomal RNA
Source: RNAcentral
AUGAACGCUAGCGACAGGCCUAACACAUGCAAGUCGAGGGGCAGCACAAGGAGCAAUCUGAGGUGGCGACCGGCGCACGGGUGAGUAACACGUAUGCAACCUGCCUGUAAGCGGGGAAUAACCCGUUGAAAGACGGACUAAUACCGCAUAAUACUAAAUUACUGCAUGGUAAUUUAUUUAAACAUUUAUGGCUUACAGAUGGGCAUGCGCAUGAUUAGCUAGUUGGAGAGGUAACGGCUCCCCAAGGCAACGAUCAUUAGGGGUUCUGAGAGGAAGGUCCCCCACACUGGUACUGAGACACGGACCAGACUCCUACGGGAGGCAGCAGUGAGGAAUAUUGGUCAAUGGACGAGAGUCUGAACCAGCCAAGUCGCGUGCAGGAAGAAUGUCCCUAUGGAUUGUAAACUGCUUUUGCGGGGGAAUAAAGUGCAUCACGUGUGAUGUUUAGUAUGUACUCUGCGAAUAAGGAUCGGCUAACUCCGUGCCAGCCGCUGC